GAACGGUGAACACGGAGCUUGCUCUGUGGGAUCAGUGGCGAACGGGUGAGUAACACGUGAGCAACCUGCCCCUGACUCUGGGAUAAGCGCUGGAAACGGCGUCUAAUACUGGAUACGAGUAGCGGCCGCAUGGUCAGUUACUGGAAAGAUUUUUUGGUUGGGGAUGGGCUCGCGGCCUAUCAGCUUGUUGGUGAGGUAAUGGCUCACCAAGGCGUCGACGGGUAGCCGGCCUGAGAGGGUGACCGGCCACACUGGGACUGAGACACGGCCCAGACUCCUACGGGAGGCAGCAGUGGGGAAUAUUGCACAAUGGGCGAAAGCCUGAUGCAGCAACGCCGCGUGAGGGAUGACGGCCUUCGGGUUGUAAACCUCUUUUAGCAGGGAAGAAGCGAAAGUGACGGUACCUGCAGAAAAAGCGCCGGCUAACUACGUGCCAGCAGCCGCGGUAAUACGUAGGGCGCAAGCGUUAUCCGGAAUUAUUGGGCGUAAAGAGCUCGUAGGCGGUUUGUCGCGUCUGCUGUGAAAUCCCGAGGCUCAACCUCGGGCCUGCAGUGGGUACGGGCAGACUAGAGUGCGGUAGGGGAGAUUGGAAUUCCUGGUGUAGCGGUGGAAUGCGCAGAUAUCAGGAGGAACACCGAUGGCGAAGGCAGAUCUCUGGGCCGUAACUGACGCUGAGGAGCGAAAGGGUGGGGAGCAAACAGGCUUAGAUACCCUGGUAGUCCACCCCGUAAACGUUGGGAACUAGUUGUGG
This 751-nucleotide ribosomal RNA is filed under the name Microbacterium foliorum. RNAcentral's name for it is "bacterial SSU rRNA". It matches the Rfam family "Bacterial small subunit ribosomal RNA", at positions 64 to 825 of the family's 1533-position model. The record is from RNAcentral. Lineage: Bacteria; Bacillati; Actinomycetota; Actinomycetes; Micrococcales; Microbacteriaceae.